This 1042-nucleotide ribosomal RNA is filed under the name fungal endophyte. RNAcentral describes it as "eukaryotic LSU rRNA". The stretch from base 469 to 1042 matches the Rfam family "Eukaryotic large subunit ribosomal RNA", at positions 1 to 586 of the family's 3401-position model. Lineage: Eukaryota; Fungi. The record is from RNAcentral.
CCCUUUGUGAACAUACCUAUAACUGUUGCUUCGGCGGGUAGGGUCUCCGUGACCCUCCCGGCCUCCCGCCCCCGGGCGGGUCGGCGCCCGCCGGAGGAUAACCAAACUCUGAUUUAACGACGUUUCUUCUGAGUGGUACAAGCAAAUAAUCAAAACUUUUAACAACGGAUCUCUUGGUUCUGGCAUCGAUGAAGAACGCAGCGAAAUGCGAUAAGUAAUGUGAAUUGCAGAAUUCAGUGAAUCAUCGAAUCUUUGAACGCACAUUGCGCCCGCCAGCAUUCUGGCGGGCAUGCCUGUUCGAGCGUCAUUUCAACCCUCAAGCUCUGCUUGGUGUUGGGGCCCUACAGCUGAUGUAGGCCCUCAAAGGUAGUGGCGGACCCUCCCGGAGCCUCCUUUGCGUAGUAACUUUACGUCUCGCACUGGGAUCCGGAGGGACUCUUGCCGUAAAACCCCCAAUUUUCCAAAGGUUGACCUCGGAUCAGGUAGGAAUACCCGCUGAACUUAAGCAUAUCAAUAAGCGGAGGAAAAGAAACCAACAGGGAUUGCCUCAGUAACGGCGAGUGAAGCGGCAACAGCUCAAAUUUGAAAUCUGGCCCUAGGCCCGAGUUGUAAUUUGCAGAGGAUGCUUUUGGUGCGGUGCCUUCCAAGUUCCCUAGAACGGGACGCCAGAGAGGGUGAGAGCCCCGUACAGUUGGACACCAAGCCUUUGUAAAGCUCCUUCGACGAGUCGAGUAGUUUGGGAAUGCUGCUCAAAAUGGGAGGUAUAUUUUUUCUAAAGCUAAAUACCGGCCAGAGACCGAUAGCGCACAAGUAGAGUGAUCGAAAGAUGAAAAGCACUUUGAAAAGAGGGUUAAACAGCACGUGAAAUUGUUAAAAGGGAAGCGCUUGUGACCAGACUUGCGUCCGGUGAAUCACCCAGCUCUCGCGGCUGGGGCACUUCGCCGGCUCAGGCCAGCAUCAGCUCGCUGUCGGGGACAAAAGCUUCAGGAACGUAGCUCUCUUCGGGGAGUGUUAUAGCCUGUUGCAUAAUACCCUUCGGCGG